GACAGAGGGUGCGAACGUUGUUCGGAAUUACUGGGCGUAAAGCGUGCGCAGGCGGUUUUGCAAGCCGGAUGUGAAAUCCCCGGGCUCAACCUGGGAAUGGCAUUCGGGACUGCAAGGCUGGAGUGCGGCAGAGGAGACUGGAAUUCCUGGUGUAGCAGUGAAAUGCGUAGAUAUCAGGAGGAAUACCGAUGGCGAAGGCAGGUCUCUGGGCUGACACUGACGCUCAUGCACGAAAGCGUGGGGAGCAAACAGG
RNAcentral lists this ribosomal RNA (253 nucleotides) under uncultured bacterium. RNAcentral describes it as "partial 16S ribosomal RNA". It matches the Rfam family "Bacterial small subunit ribosomal RNA", at positions 524 to 776 of the family's 1533-position model. The record is from RNAcentral.